This 410-nucleotide ribosomal RNA is filed under the name uncultured Methylomirabilota bacterium. Its description in RNAcentral is "bacterial SSU rRNA". It matches the Rfam family "Bacterial small subunit ribosomal RNA", at positions 1025 to 1434 of the family's 1533-position model. The record is from RNAcentral. Lineage: Bacteria; Methylomirabilota (SeqCode).
AGCGUGGAGACAGGUGGUGCAUGGCUGUCGUCAGCUCGUGUCGUGAGAUGUUGGGUUAAGUCCCGCAACGACCGCAACCCUCACCUCUUGUUGCCAUCAGGUCAUGCUGGGCACUCUAGAGGAACUGCCCCGGUCAACGGGGAGGAAGGCGGGGAUGACGUCAAGUCAUCAUGCCCCUUACGUCCUGGGCUACACACGUGCUACAAUGGCCGGUACAAAGGGAUGCCACACCGCGAGGUAGAGCUAAACCCAAAAAGCCGGUCUAAGUUCAGAUUGGAGUCUGCAACUCGACUCCAUGAGGGAGGAAUCGCUAGUGAUCGCGUAUCAGCACGACGCGGUGAAUACGUUCCCGGGCCUUGUACACACCGCCCGUCACCCCACGAAAGCCUGCUGUACUCGAAGUCGCUGAG